GAUUAGCCUGUUGGUGAGGUAAUGGCUCACCAAGGCGACGAUCAGUAUCUGGUUUGAGAGGACGAUCAGACACACUGGAACUGAGACACGGUCCAGACUCCUACGGGAGGCAGCAGUGGGGAAUUUUGGACAAUGGGGGAAACCCUGAUCCAGCCAUCCCGCGUGUGCGAUGAAGGCCUUCGGGUUGUAAAGCACUUUUGGCAGGAAAGAAACGUCAUGGGUUAAUACCCCGUGAAACUGACGGUACCUGCAGAAUAAGCACCGGCUAACUACGUGCCAGCAGCCGCGGUAAUACGUAGGGUGCAAGCGUUAAUCGGAAUUACUGGGCGUAAAGCGUGCGCAGGCGGUUCGGAAAGAAGGAUGUGAAAUCCCAGAGCUUAACUUUGGAACUGCAUUUUUAACUACCGGGCUAGAGUGUGUCAGAGGGAGGUGGAAUUCCGCGUGUAGCAGUGAAAUGCGUAGAUAUGCGGAGGAACACCGAUGGCGAAGGCAGCCUCCUGGGAUAACACUGACGCUCAUGCACGAAAGCGUGGGGAGCAA
RNAcentral lists this ribosomal RNA (540 nucleotides) under uncultured bacterium. RNAcentral's name for it is "bacterial SSU rRNA". It matches the Rfam family "Bacterial small subunit ribosomal RNA", at positions 239 to 771 of the family's 1533-position model. The record is from RNAcentral.